Molecule: ribosomal RNA, 408 nt
Filed under: uncultured bacterium
Lineage: Bacteria
Description: bacterial SSU rRNA
Rfam family: Bacterial small subunit ribosomal RNA
Source: RNAcentral
UGGCCUUGACAUAGACAGAAUUUAGUAGAGAUAUAAAAGUGCCAGUUUACUGGAGCUGUUAUGCAGGUGCUGCACGGCUGUCGUCAGCUCGUGUCGUGAGAUGUUGGGUUAAGUCCCGCAACGAGCGCAACCCUCGUGUCUAGUUACUAACAGUUCGGCUGAGGACUCUAGACAGACUGCCUGGGUAACCAGGAGGAAGGUGAGGACGACGUCAAGUCAUCAUGGCCCUUAUGGCCAGGGCUACACACGUGCUACAAUGGGGUAUACAGAGAGUCGCAAUACCGCGAGGUGGAGCAAAUCUUUAAAAUAUCUCCCAGUUCGGAUUGAAGUCUGCAACUCGACUUCAUGAAGUUGGAAUCGCUAGUAAUCGUGAAUCAGCAAUGUCACGGUGAAUACGUUCCCGGGUCU